GGGCUUAUUUGACUUGGAAAAAAGAAAGAGAAGGAAGAGAGGAGGGAGCAGAUGAGGGGGAAGAAGAGAAGGAGAAAGGUCAGACGUCUUUAGAACAACUUGUAUGUAUUAAAAAGAAAAGUUAAAGGCAUUUUCACAAGAGGUUGGAGAAGCAGGGCUGGGAAGUCAUGGAGGCAGAGACCUACACCCAUCCCCCUGCAGGAAUCACUGCUUAGCAAGCCAUGCUAGGGCAUUCACCCCUGGAGCCACGUCACCACAGCUGAAAAUUAUCACCAAAGCGGUGGCCGCAGACCAUGCACCAUUGAG
This is a long non-coding RNA of Dama dama (fallow deer), 306 nucleotides long. RefSeq lists it as uncharacterized. The record is from RefSeq and is a predicted model, not a curated record. NCBI's taxonomy places the organism in Eukaryota, Metazoa, Chordata, Mammalia, Artiodactyla, Cervidae. The transcript has 3 exons.